CCCUUAGAUGUCCUGGGCCGCACGCGCGCUACACUGACAUGUUCAACAAGCCUCCUAGUUCGACAGGAUUUGGGAAAUCUUUGAACGCAUGUCGUGAUAGGGAUAGAUCAUUGCAAUUAUUGAUCUUGAACGAGGAAUUCCUAGUAAACGCGAGUCAUCAGCUCGCAUUGAUUACGUCCCUGCCCGUUGUACACACCGCCCGUCGCACCUACCGAUUGAAUGUUUCGGUGAAGAUUCCGGAUAGGACUUUUUUGAUUUAUUUCAAUUCUGUCUUAAAAGCUAUCUAAACCUCAACAUUUAGAGGAAGGUGAAGUCGUAACA
RNAcentral lists this ribosomal RNA (321 nucleotides) under uncultured eukaryote. RNAcentral describes it as "partial 18S ribosomal RNA". It matches the Rfam family "Eukaryotic small subunit ribosomal RNA", at positions 1470 to 1796 of the family's 1831-position model. The record is from RNAcentral.